GUUUGCCCUGUUAAUUACCCUACAUCUGGCUUAGCCCAUCUGCCAAAGUGGUUAUACUGGACUGUAGUUGCUGUUCUUACUAUAGGUUCUUGGAGCCACAAGUGAGAGUUGGGUCACAGGUGAAUGCCAGUGAUGGAUGAGCAGCCCUAAAAAUGGUAUGGCAAGUUUCAGACCACAUCUAGGGUGUAAAAUGACUUUGUGGAUCUUCAAGAAUUUCCCAGUUGGCACUUGA
This 232-nucleotide long non-coding RNA is filed under the name Monodelphis domestica (gray short-tailed opossum). RNAcentral's name for it is "lncRNA (ENSMODG00000032652.2)". The record is from RNAcentral. Lineage: Eukaryota; Metazoa; Chordata; Mammalia; Didelphimorphia; Didelphidae.